Numida meleagris (helmeted guineafowl) is the source of this 18880-nucleotide long non-coding RNA. RefSeq lists it as uncharacterized. The transcript is spliced from 5 exons. The record is from RefSeq and is a predicted model, not a curated record. Lineage: Eukaryota; Metazoa; Chordata; Aves; Galliformes; Numididae.
AUCAUAUGAAAUAAAGCGCAACAAUGACCUUGCUCCUUUGCAACCUCCGAAAAGACAAGUCUUCUGAACUGACACUUGCGACCUGAAUGUACCAUUGUGAACGUAUGUCUAACCUGGCUUUCACUAUGGAAUGAAACAUCACAACAGCUACAGCAGGAACAUCAGAUGCUCUGAAAUCACUCCUAACUGCAGACCUGCACAGACUGUCACUCAGUGAGAGAGAUGACGGCAUGAGCGAAAGACAUCUGAUGCAAUCACCUGAAGAGUCCCAGCUUCCUGCUGCCUUAUUGUUUCAAAUAGAUUUGACAGCAUGUACAGCACUUUCAUUAAAGCUGAGUGAAUUUUAUAGGUUGUAUCUCCACUAAAAACUUAACCAAAUGGCAUCUUGAAGGGUUAGUGGCAAUUAGGAGUUACAAGUUCCAGAUGUAUAUUGCUACUGGCUCCUCAGAUGCAUAAUGGGCUGCACUGGUUGCCCAUCCACUCAACUAAACACAGAACUAUGUUACUACAGCUCUCCUUAAGAAUGUUUUCUCACCUUGAGACUCCCCAUCUGUUGCUGGUCAUCUGUAGUAGCAGCACAGUCUGAGCCCUCUGCCUCAUUAAGACGACCUUGAAAACUCAGAGGCAACCAACAAAUGCUAGAAAUUCCAGUAUCACUGCCAUCCGACUUCCCUGUUCACACCUGCUUUUCACAGAAACAAAUGGAAAGGAAGCAACGGAAGCAAUAUGAUGCUUCCUGCCCUUACAGGUAAUGUUGAACGUACCAGAAUAGCACAAUGCUGCUGAGUUCAGGCUGAGAAGACCAUACACUGCUCCACAGUUUAACUCUGAAAGCAUAAGCUUCACUUCACCACUGCCAGGCAUUUCUCACCAGUGGCUCACAAAGUAGUAAUAGAAUAAACCAGUUGACUUUGAGAAUUCGUCUACUCAUAGCUACACAAUAAGACUGCAAAGUACUGUUAGUUGGCAGCCCAGAAACAACACUGUGCUCUGAAACAUCACAUGAAAUGCUACUGGCAGGAAUUAAUUCACUCUGACUUCUGUGAACAGUGAAGGUCACAGCAGAAGCAAACACAUACGUAACACCCCCGCACCUUCCCACUCCCCAAGCCCAAAAUGACAGACAGGUACACAGGCACGCUUUGCCCUGGGUCAGCAGCAAUGCCUAUCUACAGCCAUGGCAACGCUGCCUGACAGCAAAGCCUUUGUGAAGUGAGCACUGGGUUGUGCGGGCAGAUACAGGGCAGACUGAAAGAGACUAUGAUUAGUUAAAACAAACAGACUAAACAGAACGGGAUUGUUGUGCCUUCCCCAAGAGUCUAUUGCCCAAGUUACCAUCUCCUGGUAUCUGAUGCCUCCUACGAAGGCUUGUGGAGCUCCGAAAGUUCUGAGGAGCACACACAGCAACGUCAGCUCAAGCAAGAGAGGAAGAGCCAAGAGUAGCGACACAUGGCAAGGAGGAUAACUGCUUACAUCUGCAGCCCAUGAGAAGAAAUAUAUACAGCACAGCUUAAAAAGAACCAAAGAGACAUAAGUAAGUUUAUUUUAAAAUAUAAUUACUUUAAUUAGACCAGCCAAUAUUGCUGGAAAGAGCAGAGUAUUUCUCAGACAUGAUGCUGCUUUAGCAGAUUAGGCAGAGCAGCAAGGCACAAGGCAGAACAAAACUGCUCAUAAUGUAACAUAACCAUGCCAACCAGUUAAACCCCUUGAGAGAUAAAAGCACUUUGCAAUCAGGCAGCAGCAAAGCACGCCAGCGGCAGGCCAGAUGACCAUCACCAGUCCCUCUGCAGGGAUAAGCUACAGUCAGUGACAGUAAGACACAGCACUACACAGACAGAAUACCUCAGGCCACACUUCUUAGCAUGCAGACUCACUCUCAGAUAUCCAGACUGAGAUAACAGAUCAUGUUACCAUGUUAACAAUCAUGUCACUGCCAUACAAUUAGACAGCCAAUGAACAGAGACACUAGCUCUCCUACAGGACACCCAUGAGCUGCAGAACAUGGGGAUACAGCAGCAUUUUUACACACUUCCCCUGGUCUUAUGCCUUCCAGAGGUGUCUGCCUACCACCAUUCCUGGCAGACAACGUCCAGGGCUGAACAGAUCCUCACUGGGGACAGUCAGUCCUUUUACUGACUCUUAACAAACACAAGUUCACACAGAUACAGAGAUGCUGCCCACUAUACAGCAAAAAAAUGCACUUUUUGUAUCUGAAGACUGACAAACUUAGGGUUAUACUUUCAUUACAAGAGGACAAAUCUAAACAGUAAAAAGCAUAUUGCUUUGUAUGAACCUGCAGUUUUAUAAUCUGUAACUAGUAAUGCCCCUGAAAAAAGGUGCUCUCCUAUUGCCUACUUGUUUUCUGCCCCAGUCCUCAUCAUGGAUUUUGCCAUAGCAAGCAUUCAUGCAGUCAGAGGUUGGGGCAGAGCUAAUCUCUUUGAAACAAUCCAUCCUCCAGCUGUUACCAAUGCGUCCUGCUGAACAAGGAGGACUGCCCUUGCAGCAGACAAGGCUCCAAGGCAAGGGAGGAGUGGGGGGUACUGGACAACUUGAGCAGACAUACAGUCAGCCAUGCUCGUGGCAACUGGGCGCUUGCUAGCACACUGAAAACCAGUUGCAAAGGUUGCAACCUCAGAGGGCAUCUGCAUUGGCUGCUUCAUGAUUCACAAAAAAAAACAACUAAAUUGUAGUCCCUGGGGUCCAUUGCUAGUAGCAGCAGGCAGGGUGUGGAAACACAGGACGGAUGCUCUGCAGAGCAAGUUCAGGUCACUGAGUCAGUCAGGAUUUUCAUGGUGGUAUUUUUUGAAAUGCUGUCAGACCACAUAUGAGGCCUGAGAAAGAGGCUAAAGCAGGAAAUCAGAGAUACAAAGAGAAAGGAUUUAGGUAUGACGGGAGCAGGAAGAACUCGUUAGGCAACCAGAGUCAGACUGACUGGCAUGCUAAUAAGAGUCUCGGAACUUCCCAACACUUCUACACCACUGCCAGGUAUUUCCCAAUAACACUCCGGAAGCCUAGAUGCUUGGCCUCACCUGACACUCUAGAUGAAACAGGCAUCUCCCAGACUUGGUGGGAGGAGAGGUACAGUAAGGUACAGCACUGAUAGGCCAGCGGGUCAGCCAGCAAUUCCAGCAGGAAUCACAGGUGAGGAUGGCACUGUGCAUGAAGGACAUUUAAACAUUUAAUGGCAAGAAGCAACCCAGAAAACAAAGACUGCAACAUCUUAGAGGCUGUUAAAAACAAAAAAGCACCCCCAAGAAAGCCCAAAGCACACAACACACUCUAUGAAAAGCCCAGGUCAAACAUUCACAACUGUAUUAAAAGAUCAGGUAAAACAUUCACCACAGUUAGAAGAGAAAAGAAAGCACUCAAGAAAACUCAACCCAUGGCUUGACAGGGAAGCUAUGAGGGCAUCUUGGACAGCAGGACAGCUUUUGAAAACAGCAACCUUCUUUAACGAGAGCAGAAGAGAUUGUUAAACUCAUAUGAGGUCAAAAAUAAACUGGAAAUAAAGGAUUAAAAUGUCUGGAUAGUAUCUUGCAAAGUUAUUUAACAACCUCAAAAGCAGGAAACCAACUAGAAAGAAGUGAACUCUUGUGAAGAGAGAACAUUGUACUGGUCUUUACUGGUGAAGCAGUUGGAGGCACAUCCAUCUUUGCAGCAUGUAGGUCAGAGAGGCUAAGUCAGUGUGAAUUAAUUACAGAUGGAGCAUUAGGCUGGACAGACCAGUUAGUAUUGCUCACCUGGACCAGAUGUUUACAGGAAAGUUUUAAGCCUGAAACAGAAGAACUGCUGGGUGAUGGAUUGCCAGCAUAAUGCCACUGCCUGCAGAGACUGGCAUGGGAGGAAAGCAAAUGUGUUUUCUAUCCCUGGUAAGUAUUAAAUGAUCAGAUCACUGUGCACCAACAUGCACUCUGUCGGGAAAGAGCAUGAACAGCUUCCACAAAUGAGAGUCCUAGCAAGGCCGCUGCUCUUCUUCCCAGCUGAUACCUCUAAUUUGUCUGAUUCAUCUGGAAAUCCCAGGCGAACACCUGACAGUCUUACGGAAGGGAUCAAUCAGGAUUACUUUUAAAAACUUGUAGAUGUAAUCUCCAGCCAUCCAACAGGGACUCAAGGCUCCCUGCGACAGUCAGCACAUUCCUCUGCUACAUAUUGCAGGCUCCGGGCAAACGUCACCACCGUAAAACGAUGAUGCACAGCUUUGCUACACAUCGCACUGUUUGCAACCACAUGCUUAAGAGCACUGUGAUGGACUCAGAUGAACUCAAUAGAGGAAAAAAAAUGAAACAAGCAAACAAACAAAACCCAUCACCUUGUUUAGCCUUCUAUUCCAGCUUGUGCGCUUCGUUCUGACGGCUAGGGAUUUGGAUGUAGGGCAAACAACUGGCAAUGCCACGAACAGCAGAUACACAAAAGGAAGUUUGUCGUGACUGCUUCCUCCCCCAUAGCUUCUGGAUGUACUCAGACAGCAAUCUACCUGCUCAUGCUGCCCAAAGCUGGGAAAAUCAGGAGUCCGCAAAAUAAACAUCAACAAAAAAAAAACACACACAAAGCCAACCAGCUUCCCUCCCCCCAAAAACAUAAACCAAUAACAACCUUGAGUCUCCUUCAUUUCUCUCUACUGAUACCUUAACACUGUACUCAUCUCAACCAAGAAGACAGUUUUAUUCUCAGAGCAGAAAACAAACCCAAGUUACAGUGACUUAAUCUGCAGUUCUUGGCAGCCUAGAAUCAGCAUAAGGGCUGGUUGCAAGGGUCCCAUCCCUUCCCAGGUAGCAUGGGAAGUCCCAGUCCCUUGAGCCAGCUCUGGCAUUCAGCGUGCUAAAAGGCUCAGCAAAAAGUCUUACAACUCAGAGAAAAAAUAGCCUGACAAAAAGCAGCAGUUGGUGCUGCUGACUUAUCAAGCAGAAGCAGCACAGCAAGCAAGCCAUGACCAAUGCAAGUAGUAGAAGUGUGGGUGUGGGGCACACACGAAUGCGUUUCGUUUGCCAUGGACACGGGGUCCUAUCCAAAAGUUGAGUUUAACUCACGCUAGUUACCCAGCCCAGAAGACCAGUUACACCAUUAAGUGCGCUUGCAAUAGAUGUGAUAUGCAGGAGAAGUCUGACCCCUUCUUUCAGUAGCAACCCCAUUAUGCACUAGCUUAAAAAGAUUGUAAAAUUGCAAUUCAAGUCUAUAAUGUUAUUCCAGUGACUCGCAGGAUACAAGGCACUGCAUAAGGCAGCUAUUCAAUACUAACAAGACUAAAGGAAAAAAUAAUUCUGGAAGACCUAGAACUACCCUCAAGCAAAGAGACCACAAUGUUUCCACAACAAAGCUUAAACGUCUUUCUAAAAUUAAAUAUUCUCUCAAGUACACGAGAUACAAACACUGUCUCAUAACUAUGUACAGAACACUUUCAGUAAGAUCCCUCCAAAUGUCAAAACUGAAUUUCAAAAACCAUCUCAUCAGCCUGGGAACACUGGAAAAUAACCACGACGCAUUUCAAUUUCGACACAUUAAAAGCUGCAUAUUCAAGCUUUAUUUUGUUUUUCUCCACCAGAUACCACUUUAUGAAAGCAAAAAAAGAAAACAACAUUCAUCUUAAGUUGCAAAUUAGACAACAUUUCUGAAGCACUCAUAAAACUGCAGCUACAUUGUGCACCAGCAAAAUGUACACAGCCUUUCAGGAGUGGUAUUGGGGUUCUCUGAGAACGCUGUAUGUUACUGUCACAAAAAAUAUACAGUAUGAAAUUGCUAGCUCUGUUAAAGUUGGACAACUGGUAUACAACCACAGAGACCCCUACAACUCACUGUCCAUGAGCAGAUCUCAUACAAACGUAACUCAGUUAUUACACUGAGAAGGAACUGAAAUGAAACAGCUGUGAAUUAAACCACCGACCUAAAGGGCAAUAUUAUUUUGUUGUUAUUAAACCUGUGCAUUAGUUAGCCAUUCAUGCAUUAGUUUCUAAAUGCCAAACCACCAAAGACAAAUCUUUAUUCCAGAAGAUGAAAGAUUCAACUACCUCUACUGUCUAACGAUUUUCAAACAUCAAUACACUUACAAUAGUAAUGGCUUUUAAAGGAUAGUGAAAGAACAGCUAUGAAUUCCCUGAAGGGAAGAGAGAGGUCAAAGUUCCUUUUAUUGGAUAUCUCAGUACAAUGCUUCAAGGCUUUGGGCCUCCUAUUUUCACUAACUCCAAAGCAGAAGGAUUCCACUGCCAUCCCAUCCAGAGACCAGACUGAAGGCUGCAACUCCCAUUCAGCACACCUGGCAGCUGGAAGUUGGAACCUACUGUUCUUCUGAUGUGAGCAACAGGUGGGUCUAUACUGCCAUCAGGCUGGACACUAAAGCGUGGUUUACACACUCUACCAGCACAGCAUCUGCUCUAUCAGCAGCAAUCCUGCUAUACUUACACAGGGCACACAAGGUCAACUCAACCACCUAUGAACUCACACUAAAACAAAUGACCAUCCACUUUCUCUCAGAAGCUGCCCACAGAGGCCGUCUAAAAGUCUUCACAGAUAAGGCAGCAAACUUGAUCCAUCGUCACUGCUCUUUUAUAAUACUCUUUGCUUAAAAUAAAACAGAAAAUCCUCAGUGUCUCAGUUUAAAAUACAGUGGUCAGACACCAGACAGAUGUUAUUAGUGAUGGCACUGAACUUUAAGGCAGAAGUGUCAGUGGAUCAUUAAUAACUGCUAGGGCUGUACAAAAGUAUGUGCACGUUUUAUGAACUUCUGCACGUUUCAAUGGAAAAAGAAGGAAACAAUUUUUAAGCCAGAAAUAAAGUGACACUAAUAUGACAUGGAGAAGAUGCAUAUUGUCACAAUAGAUCUUCAAUGGCAAAACUAAUGUUUUCAUCCUCAAAAACACUGUUGUCAGAUGAUUUCUCAAUUUAGAACACUCUACAAAAGCAGAUACUGUUAAGGGACCAGGAUUCCUGCCAUCCAUCAGUCCCCUCCAGCAGGGGGACCAUAGGAAGAGAAAGAAAAACCCACAUUGAUUUCUAAAAACCAAAUCCAAUCCAGCACAGAUGAUGAUGAACCUUCUAAACCAUUCAAACUAUCACACUCAUUACCGAAAGCAAAGCAUUGUGUAUUUAUCAUAAAGUGAUCAAGAUAUAGCUAAACCACUUGGAUUUUUUUUGCCUCUAAUAAUCUUAUUAAAAGCUUACUCUAAAGCCAUACUGCUCCAGUAAGUGGAAACCUAACACCCUAAAUGUAAAUUCAUUCUGUCAUUUUAUAUCCUUUUGUUGUCAGUACUGGCAUCCAAAUUAAACAGCUAAUUUGUGUCCCUUUGUCUUUCUCUCACUGCAUAUACACAAACAGAUACAUACUCCCCCCCACCCCCAAUCUAGUUUUGUGCCUCAGCCAUCGCUCUGAUCCUCUGAAGGAGCCCAGCCCCUCUCUUCCUUCUCAAGCUGAUCUCACAUUUCUUCCAGGCACCCAGACUACAGCUUUUGAGAGAAGAACAACCAUAGAGGUUUGCAAUUAAGAUCUCUCAAGUACUUAGACCCCUUCUGGUCCUAAUGAUAAUUUCUCCUCAAAACAGCCACUUGUCCUUUACGUACAUACAACGUGAUGAUGACUAAGAGACAACUAGCAGUCAACCAAUAACACCUGGGAACCACUGAGGAGAGAAAGAAACAUUCUGGUUUUUUUAAUUACCCCUUAGGUACAGAAAGCUGAUUUUCAUUUUUCAAUACUGAUUUUCAUCUCGUUUCAAGUCUUCACAGUCUUUCAAACAUUCCUGCUCAGCACUCUGAUCUGCCUCACAACUUUGCCUCUUUAAAAUUUCAUUAUAACCCACCCAUUGCUUGGCAGGGGGAAGAGGAUUUACAUGAAAGACAUUACUUGUGGCUCAAGAUAUCCCAAACUGCAAAUUAGUGAAAGUUAUAAAAACAUUUGGGGAAGUAGCUAGUGCAUGUAGCUUCCUCAAUCACCUUACCUUCUCUUUCAGCUCAUCUACAUUCUUCAACAUGCAGUAAAUCUAUGGAUCUUAUUUCAUUACAGAACCAUAGCUUACUGGUUCUAUCAGGGCAGAAAAUAGGUAAUCAUAACAUUCUCUUGGUUGUAAAAUGUCCCACAAAAACCAUCCUUUUCGGAGAAAUAGGAUGUCUAGAGCUAAAGCAGUUAUGGAAUACAGUUUAUGGAAGGCCCUGUCUUUAACUUGGGUUGGCAGACUUGCAACUGUCUAAGCUGUGCUCAGAGAAAGGAUUCACUGAACAGUAGCCUAAAAACAGGAAGGAAGAUCCUGUGACCAAGAGUACCCAAAUGGAGAAAGCUAUCCUGGAAAAAACAUCCACUGAAAAUUAACAUUUAAUUGAGAAGCAACAAAAGCCUUUGAGGGAUUCAAGCUAACACAAAUACAACUACAAUUCGUUUUGGAUAUAAUGGAUAACAGUACAAAGGAAGAAAAAAAAAAAGAAAGAAAAACAUAUGCCUCCAAUACGCCUCCAAGUUCUCCAUGUUGCCAAUUUAGGCAAAAAAUAUCCCGAGCUGUGUCUGGAGUUUCCUGGCAUGGCCUUCAGGGCAAUCCAGUCAGGGGAAAGAACAAUUCCAACAACAGUAACUGAUUUCUACGGUCCCUCUUGCCACUAAUGUAAAAGCAGGCUGAAGUAGCUUACUUUUAUUGGUAAGAACAUAUGGCAGACAAGGUCGCAUCCAGGUUUGUCCACCAUAAUGACACUGUCAGGAACUAAACACACUCCUUCCAAACCUCACUGCAGUGCUUUAUGCUUCGAGUCACACUUGCCUCCUCCACAGACUUGAAGACAGAGAAAUUGGGCAGAAACUGAGAAGGACUGCAAACAAUCAUAGGUCACAUGGCCAACGUUUUCACGUGAGAUUACCCUUUCUUUUUCGAUUAAUUCCGUUACUUAAAAUCAAAUAGAUUUUAUCUCCAGAACCAUCUGACAAUUGCUGAUCUCUCUGCAGUAGCUCCUUUUAAGAAGCUUCAGCUGUCUCCAAAGACCUAAACUUCAAUGUCAAAAUUUCAGAUGCUGCUCUGGACUUCUCCCAUUUUCUCCUCCAGAGCAAUUUCCACUAAACAUUUCACAUAAAGGGACAGCCAAGGACAUACAUGAUGUUUAUACUGCCUAAACUUCGGAUUUAUUUCUGUAAUCCGAACAUUCAGACGACUACCAUGCCGAGGUAAAGUAAGUAUCUCCCAUCUCCACUUUCAGUGUAUGGACUUCUAAGACAGAUGAUAAACAUUUGAGAAUACAAUGAAACCUUGUCUAAACAUUUCUGAAUGGCUUAGCAAUUUCUCUUGGGGGAAAAAACAGAAAGACAACUUUUUUUUUUUUUUUUUUUUAACUGAGACAAAAUUUCACAACAUUUCAGUGAGACCUUCAGAAAUAGCCUCCAUAAUUCAAGUUAUGCAUUACAGCAAUCUCAGGAAGACUGUAUAAAUUUUUUAAAAAAUCAUACCCAAAAGCAUUUAGGAAUAGCUCAUGGACUUAGCAGGGACAGGAAUGUCCUAUUUCCAGCCAUAAACCAUGCUGUAGCAAGGACAGCUCAUCAUCUUAUACAUUCACCAAUUCUGUCUAGCGUAACUGCACCACUUCCAGCUCAUGACAAAUAAGACUCACCUGCCACUGAGCACUUCUGACACAUUUAAAAAGGAAGAAAACCCACGUACAUUAGCAGAAUAGUACAUAGCAGUAAGCAAAAUUCAAGGAGGUUAUACCAAGCUACAUGUAUUACGUAUGUAAAAAGCUUAACACCUUGAAAUCCUCCAAAAUGAAAGGAGAAAAAAAAAAAGAAAGCUGACAGCAAAUAACAAAUUUCACGUUCUCCCAAGAAAGGCACUACUGGGAACUACCUUCUGCAAUGGCACUACUGCAGACUUCUGCACUAAAACACAUUCCAAACAUGGCAAACAAUGCAACCUUGAGGUUAAGAAGGACCACAGUGGCCGCUGUACAUGCAAAUAUUUAUCUUUUUGAAUCUCUUUUUCCUUGAAAUAAGAGAAAACUUGCAUUCUCUUUCUUCUCUAUAACCCUUUAUUUUUAAUACUUGUUUUUAUUCAGGGUUCCUUCCAAAUGAACAGCGCUUAUCUUUAUCUUCUUUCAACUUCUUUCCCAGUAUUUUUACAAGAAUUCAGACAUCAUGGUGGUGUAUAUCCCACGAGAUUUUUGCCACCUGUAUCUGCUUACUUUUCAGUUCUAACUGAACUGAAUGAGAAUCUGAAUUAUACUCCUAUUUCUCAAGGAAAAGGAGAGCUUAUCAGCAGAAAUCCACAUUUUCCCAACAUGUUAAUAGGGAUUAGCUUUAAUACUACAUUUCCAUUCAGUUCUUUGUAGUUCGGAUAAUUGCUUGUACAACACUGUACUAAAGGAAGACUCCUAUUGCCCGGCUUGCAGUUUUCCAUCUGGGCCAGUGGGUCAGUGAAGCUUUGUUCCCUUCUGCCUAAGGGGUGCAUCACUUACAGCUACACAACGCCCUGCCAGCACUGCAGCCACCCGUGGAGGUGGCCCCUUCCCUCACUACAACUACACCUUCUCUAUGGUUUUUCCAGCCACAUCCCCAGCCUCCAAUACUCUCCCUGCAGAAAGUCUACUUAGAGAUGGGUGGCACAACAUUUUUCUCACUGGCAUUCACUGGCUGUGUAAUGUUACAUUCAAAUUAAAGUACCGAGGACUAGAAAAUACAUAUUUUUAUUUUACCUUUGUAAAGCUUACAAGCAAUCUCUGUGUAACAUACAUAGCUUUCUCCAAAAAGUCAAUGUUUUAGCACCAUUAUCUAUACAGAAAAGAACUGCCUUGCAACAUGUUGUUCAUUGGCAGCUGAACUUCUGCUCCCUUAGGUAAGGAAAACUGUAGCACUCAGUCCUCACUUACUGACUGUCACCAGGAAAAAGGGCUGGAAACAACCAGAUUUACUUUGCUGGGCCAAAGAGCUGCCUGCCCAUCAGUGAAGCAUCACACACUUUUCCCACCUUUUCUAAGGCGCCUAAAGAGAUCUAGAUCUUCAUAUGUACAACUCAGCUCUGCGCAAAAUGCCAAGUGGAAAACAAGAGAAGUAAUUCUCCAGCUAGGUUGAAGCAGAAGUAAUUCUGAUGGUAAUUAGAAAAGGUUUAUGACAAGGAUCCUUCCCUUCUUCCUCUUCUGUUUCCAAGACAGACUCCAAGUACCAUCUAGACAGAUGCAGAUCUGAACCCACCCCAUGCCAGAGAAGCCUGCCAAGGAGACAUCUUGCUGGCAGAGAAGCAGAAGAUAAAUAGCAGGGGUAUGAUUACGGACUUCCAUAUUACAAACAACAUAGUCCUAAGCAGAACCUUGCAAAAAAAAAAACCCAGAAUUCAAGCUAAUGGGAAGAAGGGCAUAAAAUUAUUACUUUUAUAGCAUCAAGGAAUUUGAGAACUCACUCCUUAAAACACAGAAAGGUGCACGUGCCCUGGGAGGAUAUACACUUCUCUGCACAGCUGCUGUCCCAGUGACCUUGCCACAACUCAGCAGAGCAGUUCUGCAUUCCAGAUGUCAUUCUCAAGAAAUCAGCACUUUAAUAACUUCAGCUGCAAGUAUUCAGUGUGGCUAACGAGUAUCCACAUACAAUGAGCACUGCCUUCAGGAAGUUACCAAAGCCCAGCCAGAUCACAAAAAUGAACACAUCCUAGAAGGCACAGAAGUGUAUGAGCAGUCUGGCAUAUAAGAAGGGAAGAUCAGGCACAAAGGGAUGUGACAACUACAACAAAAAUACACGAUUAACGCCUACUUUUGUCCCAGUGCUGUGCCUAAAGACACCAGAGCUUUGGUCAGUCAGCACAAACCACAGCACUAACAGUAAGGAAAUCUACAUCACGUAUCAGUCCAAGUUCAAAUUAUUAACUGCUCUCUGAAUGCAGCGCUGUGACCAUCUUCAUUCUUCAAUCUUAUAGAUACUGCACUUCUAACGUUUUUUUUCUUUUUGAGGAUAUGCUUUAGACAGUUUGUGAAUGAACUGCAGCAGAGCUGCCCCAUCUUGUUACUUAGAUGCAAACUAAGUGUGCAAUGCUAAACUGCAUACCAAUGAAACAUACCAAAUGUAUCACUUCACUCCAUAGGAGCAUAAACAUCAUAAAGAAGGUCAAGCAUUCUCAUAAUGCUUUGCUAAUGAGGGUCAGGGCCUGACUGGACUUGUUUUGGCCUCCAGCCUAGCAACAGCUUCUGUGUUGGCCAAACUCUGAGGAGCCCACUAUGACUUCUACAUAAUUCACACCUUUCUAUUCCUCCAUACAGGCUCUUGCCACUAAAACCACCAGCAUAAGGCUCAAGCACCUGUGUUAGCACACAAGCAUCUCCUUUGGAAGACAAUAACUUGAUGCUACAGGAAGUCUGCUAUAAGCUGUAAACAAGUACUUAAUGUAAAAAUGGAUAACUUGGCACAUUGUGCCUGCUCCAUUAAUCACGGCACAAGCCUUGAGAGAUCCAACAGCUAUGAGCUAGAUGAAUGUAUUUCCUUCACCGACUGGUCACAGCCUGUAUGUACACUAAGCGAGCUGAGCUAGACCCGUCUUCCAAACAUAUUUCCCAAUUAUCUUCCAGUUGUCCACAACAGCAAUUGGUCCCUAUCCAGCAACAUGCAGUCGAAAGGCGUGAUAUCAGAACUGCCCAUACAGUUGGGUGACAUCUAUUUGUUUCUUAAAACAUAAGACAAAGAAGUGCCAAUAUUCAGUUUACCUUGUUUUAGGGCUAGGUGACGUUACAAUUCUGUGCCAUAAGAAGUAACAUGUUCAGCUCACAACUGAACACAAGGCAAAGCUUUACAGAUUUUCUUAAUUCAACAAUAAAUAUUUGCAUUAAAUAAUUAAAUUCUCAAUAAUUUAUAGCAAAGGAUGUUAACAACACAUACACCACGUCAUACAGAGACCCAGUGAAGUUCAAAUUUUUGCAAAUCAAAUUUGCAAAAUCCCCAGAAAUCUUUAUUAAGCAAGUUUCUUCAACAGAAAAUAGAGUAAAAGGAAAGGUGGCAGAAGAUCCGAAUGUAACUAAAAGGCAGGAGGCAAUAAAAAUGAAUGAGCAGAUGGACAGCACAGGAGAAGUGGCUGCCGACUCCUCACCUUACCUCACCCCUACCCUACUAGGGAUAGGGGAACAAACAAUUCUACAGAAGUAGCAUUAGAGUGAGGCAGAGCACCUCCAGCUUUGUGGUGACAGCUUUUAUCUGAAGCAGCAAUAGCAGGGCCCCUUUCUUAAGGCCAUCUGUGAUGCAAUCUCUUGUACUAAUAGAAAUGUAAGAACAGUUCACUACAAUGAGUUUAUGAACCAAAAAGCCCUCAUUACAUUAUAUUUAACUUAAUUUAGAGUUUAUCAGAGCAUUAUUUGGUCCAUUCACCAAGCAUAGCAGAAGAUGAGCUCACCAGCAAAGGCAAGUUCUUCUGAAGCCAUACAGCUCAGUUCAUUUUCCUUCUCUGCUGUACCAAACUGCAGUCACCAGCCCUGUUUCAAAAUAUGCUGGGAAUUCCCUGCUGAGCACUGCCAAUGCCCGCCAAAAUACACAUUUUCUACUGCACUGUAUUUUAAAAACUUCCACCACAGGAUACCACUUUGAAAGAACCACUACUUCACAUUCCAGCAUUUAAUGUUCAACAGUAACGACAGUGUUAAGACAGAAGAAGAUGCUGAAGUUUGAAAGAAACCACGAGACACAUGUGAAGAGCAGAAUGAAGUCAGACAGACGCACAGACACCAGAGAACACUUCCCUGUGUCUGCACUUUUCAGUGCUGUUUUUUUGUUUUAUGACUAGUGUUGAUCUUUAGCUGUGACCAAGCAAUCAUUAUAGCUGUUGUGUAACGUCACCGAGUGCGACAAUAAAUACAAAUUAUUGCACAGAGUAAGUUUCCACUGCCACACAAGUACGGUAGAGCAACAGAAAAAUUUCAGACUUCUGACAUCAACAACUGCAAUGUCAAUGGGUACAGCUGAACUCUGAGUGGGAUUGCAGAGGAAUAAUUCUUUUUCUUUUUUCCCCUGUUUAAAGACUGUGCUCUGAAAUCCAUUCUUUGUUACGUUUCCAGGAGGUUUUACAAAAAUGCUUGUAAAGAAACAUACCAGCACAAAUGAGGAGCCCAGCUCAAGGCUCCAACUUUACCUCUGACAGUAAGUUGUAGAGACUAAAACAGGAAGCGAGGCACUGGUCAAGAAACAAGAAAUUGAGAGAAGCACGUAAUCCUACAAACCUGCAAGCAAUAACCUUUCUUAUUUACAGACAUGCAAGCACAUGAAUACAUCUGCAGACAAGCCUAGUCUGUUCCUGGACAGCCAGGAACAAACCCUGGAACUAUUUCUUUAUCACAGGGUUAAUUUACACUCAGUGAGCAGAAUCACAACUUCAUUUGGAAGUGUGAAAACAGGUCGGCACAAGGUGAGCCAGCUGCACGUUUUAAGACUGUAUUUAAGACCGUCUCCAAACUUCGCUAACAAAGAACCAAGGUGAUGCAGUAUCACUGCUCUGCACCCUUUGAGAACAUGUAAACUGACAGACUGUAGACCGGGAAGCACAAGGAAGUACAAAGGUCAAGUAGACCAAUCCCACACUGCAGCCGUAUCAGUCCCGCAGCCAAACGGAACAGUCGAUGCAGAAUACUACAAGUCACCAAUGAAGAAAAGAACUGGCACCUUUCCAGUCUAACUCUUUGGAAUAAGGUUGGAUAUCACCUAGAAAAUCGUUUAACUCAGAGCCCUUCAGUCACAGGAGAUGGUGCAGCCGGGCAGAUGACUCUGGUGGCAAUGAGCGCGGCUGCCAGCAACGCGGCUGCCGGCGGCUGGAGCCCUGCACGUGCACGGGGCUGGCAGCCUCCGCAGGCGGGACGCCUCCUCCCGCACCAGACUCACCACAAGAAUGCACAUCAGCUGCAUCCAUUUAACGCCUCUGGCACGGUCCCCCUGCAAGAUGAGGAGGAUAUGAGCAAGCCAUCAGUAAGGCAUUUGAUGCAAGGCACUCACGGUAAACAUCCUUCCCAAGAGCUCCUCAGCCAGGCAGGAAGCAGGGCACAGGCGGCACUGGCCAUUCCAGCUGCAGAACCUUGCUCCUGGUUACCAGUACCAGCUGGCGGGGGCAGAACACACAAUCCCCUAACAAAUUGUGCCGAGUAAAGAAAGGCGCUCACCACCAAAACGAUCCUGCUGAGUAGUAGCCUGUUCCCAAGUGACCUUCAGGAAGGAUGCAAACAGUGGUGAACAAGGAACCUGCUGGACUGCUGUACACGUUCUCUACAAAGACAGUGGCAUUCACACAAGGUAGGAAGACAUAGGAAGGUGAGGCAAACUGUGCAGAAUCAGAAACUCAGAAGGGUGACUUCUGUGUGUUAAAGGAAAUAUACACAGUAAGCAGAAAUCAGAAUCUUUAAGGGAAAUAGUCCUCGUUCCCCACAGCGCAGCUCAGCUAAACUCUUUGAACACUUUGCACCCUUCCCAUCCAGGGACAACAUCCAUGCACACACAUUUCCACUCAAGCACCUUCCCGGUAGAAGAAAAACAGUCAGCAGCAUGAGCCUUGAGCCCUUGCCUGCUGGUGGGCGGCCCUUUCCCACUUCACAAUGGAAGGCAGGACAAGGUAUUGUUCCCAGUGAUCGCAGAGGAACGGGGUGUGUUACACUAAACCAAACCAGAAAGGAAAUAAUGGGAUGCAAGGUAUUUGUUUGGAAGGUAAGAAAUACAGGGAAAAAGGCUAUUUUCCUUCCCCCAAAAUGCAUGGGGGUAAAGUGUUUCACAACACUUUCUGCAACUCCUCCAUUGUAUUUUCAUUAGCACUUCUAAACCUCUACAGCAAAAUAUCCUGCCUUUAAUUAAUUGCUGUGCUCCAUAACUUUACUCGUCCAGCUGAGUUUCAAGAACAAUGUCUGAAUGAUAUUUUGUGUGUCAAUUUUUGUCUGCUGUAGCAGUUCUCAAACUUUAUAUCAGCUUUCAUACCUCCAAGAUAAUUUUUACAUUCCUUCCACCCCCACCAGUGCAGUUUGAGAGACACUGCACUGGCAGAAGCAAGAGGAGAGGACAUGCCCUGCCGAGCACACCCCGAGAAGAAGGGAGGGGAUGUAUUAGGGAGCAAAUCACAGUGACAUGAAAUUUUAAGUUGAAGAAUGCUGCUCAAUUAAGACAGUAAUAGAGGAAAAUGCUAGCACAUCAAUGGAAGACUGCAAGAGAAGCAGAAGCCUGAGGCUGGAUGGAUCUUCUGAGUCUGUUCAUGCUAAGACACUGCUGGACACACACAGCAUGUUCCCACUCUCUUCUUCUGAAUCCAUGACUCUCUGUCUCUGACCCAGCAGCUUCCCAGCAAUGCCCUCCACCAGCAUCCCAUAUCCCGUGCUUUGGAAAUUACAGUCAGAGACACAAAAAUGCCAACUAUUUAACCCAAGUCUGGGCUGUGCUUAAGUCUGAAACCUGCACCCUUUCAAAAGCCAUUUUUUGUUUCCUUUCUAUGAAUUGCUCAAAAAUCCUUUCCUUUCAAGCCCUGCUAUGAUCCUCAGCUUAGGAGCUGAAAGUUCCAAAAACCUGGAGGCACUGCAAGCAUCCUUUGUUCAGAAGACAACACACCACAACCUCUGGCUCAAGUGAUUCAGCAACCUGCUCUUCUUUGAUCGUGCCCAGCUUUCUUGUUCAAAGGCCCACGAGAAGUAUGAGUAAUGCUUGGGUGAGGAUACCUGCUUACAAGCCUUUCAUCUUCCCUGUAAUUAAUAUAAUUAAAAAUAUAUUUCUAGAGUUCAAUCGCUGACUCUUAUUUUAGGCUACUACUCUAAGACCAGAUACUUUUAAUACGUGGACAAAACUUGCAAAAGGAUUCCUGGCAGAAAGCCGCAACACACAUUCACUGAAAAAUGCCAGAUCUUCUUCAGGCUUUGUGCUCUACAAGAUGAAGCUCAGCUUCAAAGACAACAUCCUACCCCUGUGAGCCACCCGGUUAUCGAUAAGCCUGCCUGCAAACCUUCCGGCUGCCGGAAGCCAGGCUGCCUCUGAACGUUUGGCUGGAGCAAAUUAUUCACUGACCUAGAAUUUUACAUGUAACACUGAACAACUUUUUCAAAGUUGCUUCCCCAACCACACAAACAUAAUCAGCUCACGAGGCUGCUGAAAGCAGCAGUUCUGCCAUCUGUCCGCUUAUUCCCCCCUCACACUUGUGCAGGCACAAGCGGUUGUGAAGCCACACAGUGAUCCAGAGGGAACCAAUCUCUGAAAACCAACCAGGGAAAAAGUAAAACGAUAAUUAGAUCAUUCUUCCAGUCUGACAAACAGUAGGACUGUGCACGCUGACAGGAGCAUGGGAGUAAGCACAGCAACAGAGUUAACAGCAGUGCCAUUUGCAGAAGGCCACUGGCACAGCAACCUUCUUUAAGGGCAGGCACUAAAUCUCAAGAAUGCUUAAGCACACACGUGAACUUUAAGUAAAAUGAUUUGUACUUCUCGAAUUUGCUAUUAUGAUACUUUUAAAGUAACAGGCGGGAGAAGAAAGCUGAAGGUCACCCAGAGGAAUCAAAGUGCUGCUGGAAAGCAUUUCUGCGGUCAUCUUCACCUCUACCUCAGUUUCCCCAACAAAAAAGGGACAGUAACACCAAUCUCUUCAGCAAAGUAUUAUGACACAAUUAAAAACACACCGUGGUGAUACGAUAAUGCCGUUACAGAGAGACAAGGACAGAAUUCAACUUUCUUGUGGCAAUGAAUGAGUGAAAGGGCACAAAGCUGACAUGGGAACCUCUGACAGUCUGGGAUGGAGAACAGACACAGGACACUGCAAGGCAAAAUGGCCACUGAGAGCAGCAGCUCCUCAACAUCGCUAUCUACAAGAGGACAGACACAGAUGUACAAACUACCUGGGUAAAGAAACUCACAGCGGAGUCUCCCUGCCCUCCUUUCAUUACUGGUACUCUGAUGUAACCACAUAGGAGUUAUGAAGAGAGCAUAGGAAGGACUUGCUGGGGUGGCAGGUUAAGUAGGAAUCCACAGAGCUGGGUUGUCAUGACAGCAGCUGAAAGUAUGCAAGAGAUGUAUAGAUCCUGGGUGUUAGAACAGCAAGGACUCCAAACAAGAUCAUUAAAACAUGACAUUAUUUUUAACACCGAGAGGUAUACGCUACAUCUCAUUAAUGAAACAUGGACUGCACGCUAACCACUUGCACUGGUGAGGGUGCGCGUGGAUGGAGGACAAACGUAGAAAUGCUUCCACUAUACCAGCAAAGAGCACAUUCUGCCCAGAGCCCAACAGUCAUGCGGCACUGGGAGGGAGCAGUGCAUGCGCUCCUGUGGAUCCCUCACUUGAGCCUCAGCGGAAGCUCGAGCUUCAGUUUCUGAAGCCCAGAAACUCACCCCACAAGCUCCACCACACACACUGUAAAGCAAAGUAAAACGGUGGAAAUUAUUUCAGCAACCCCUUACAUUAACUUGGCAUUCACGCAGCAUGCAGAGUUGGUAACGUCCCAGCCGGGAGGCAGUAACUUCCUGCAGAGAGAAGUUACUCCCCGAAGUGCCCAACCGCGCCGGCAGCAGCACGGGCACACACUGCACUGCCAGGGCAUGAGGGUUCAACACAGACCCCGAAUAAGCACAGCUCAGCUCCGCGCAAAGCGGGCCUUCGUGGAGGCUCUCACAAGCAGGCUUGGGAGGCAGAGGCGGGUGUGACUAACAGGUGUUAGCUGUGAUCCAUUCGGAACUUUGGAAUUUGGACGUGGUAGAUUGCUGAGGGUUUGGUAUACCUAAUACGAGACUGUCUCUGGGGGUUGCUACAGAGCAAGGACUCUGGGACCAAGCAGCACCUCAGGUGCCUGACACGGGGUACACACUGGUACAGCAGUGCUCACACACCAGGUUCCCCUCAAGGUACUCACCGUGACACAGUGCCGAAGCAGAGCCCGCGCUCACGCGGAACACGCGCGCUCAGAGCCCGCUUAGCGGAGGGCUCCCGGUGCGGCCCGCAGGGAGAGGCGCGGGGCGC